AUGACCGUUUUUCAACAGAUUGAUACUGUAGUAGAUUUACCUGUGAAUGCUCCACCCUCUGUCUUGCCACAUCACCCCUUCUCUCCCUGCUCUCCUCCUGUCUCCCUGUCUCAUUCUCUUUUCUCUCAGCCCUCUCAGUCUGUCAGUAUGAAGGUGUUAGAGGUGGGAGACUCAGUGAGUCAGUUCAGGUUGGCUGAGUCAUGUGUGGGGCUGGCAGGGUGUCUGUGCGUGGCCUACUCUGUUUGGACCCCUCGCUGGCUCAAUGACCAGGGACUGUGGUCUAUAGGCAACAACAGCACCAACACAGACAGUGAUGGUGACCAGACUGGGGACAUCAUCUUUAACGCCCUGGAGGCAGAGCAAGUGUUUGGGGUGCUGUCAUUCCUCAUGGCUGUGAAUUCAGGGGCUCUGUGCCUCGUGUUCGCCCUCUGCUGGACAUCCCAGACAGUGCGCUCUUACUCCAACACCCGCUCCCUCCUCAUGGCAGGCCAGGCCCUCUACCCCACCGUCUUGCUGCUCCUCACUCUAGGACCCACAGGAUUCUUCUUCCUCCUCAGCUGGUCCCUCUUCACCUACCAGCACCGGGUGGAGAUUAGUGAUGACUUCACAUGCCUGGGCUCCUCCUUUUGGCUGGGUACCCUGGGCUGGGCCCUGCUAUUGGUUGCUCUGCCUGUGGUCUUCCUGGUGGAGCAGUGUGUGGUCCCGGACAUCCUGCCAGAUCUCAUGAAGGCUGCUGAUGGGUGGCGGGGCGCCUCCCAGGUACCGUACGCCCAGCACUCGUUCAUCGUGAGUCACCAGCGUUGUCAUGAAGACCAGAGUGAUGAAGACAUUGCGAGAGGCCUGAGGAGGUACAUGUCUGUACCCUGAGAGGAGGAAUAGAGAGGACACAGGACAGUGAUGGAGUAUUAGUGUAACCUUCUUCAGGCUCAGAGACUGAGCUAACUGCAGAAUGGGACUGGACUGGGCACACAGCUGAUAGGGGUCCAUGUUCACACUAGCAGUUCACCAGGGAGAGGAGCUUCUAGUCUGUGUCUGUAUCAGAGAUUUCUCCACUGUAGGAUAAUGUUUACAGACGCACUCUGAGAAUAUGUAAUAUUAGACUAAUCAAAUCAAAUUUCAUUGGUUGUGCACACAUAUUUUGCAGAUGUUAUCGCAGAUGCAGCGAAAUGCUUAUGUUUCUAGCUCAAACAGUGCAGUAAUACCUAACAAAACAAAUGACCAAUUAGCCCUUUUAAAUUAUAAACUUGGAUUAGCUAACACAACGUGCCAUUAGAACACAGGAGUGAUGGUUGCUGAUAAUGGGCCUCUGUACGCCUAUGUAGAUAUUCCAUAAAAAAUCAGCCGUUUCCAGCUAAAAUGGCCAUUUACAACAUUAACAAUAUCUACACUGUAUUUCUGAUCAAUUUUAUGUUAUUUUAAUGGACUUGAGAAUGAGAAAAAUGUGCUUUUCUUUCAAAAACAAGGACAUUUCUAUGCCCAAACUUUUGAACGGUAGUGUAUAUAUACACAAAUAUAAUGGUGUGUGUAUAGACAGUAUAUGAAUAGAAAAGUUGUGUACAGGAGUAGAUAUAUAGGAUAAGCAUUGAAUAGAAUACAGUAUAUACAUAUAAAGUGGGUAAAACAGUAUGUAAACAUUAUUAAAGUGACCAAAAGUGUCAAUGCUGAGAUAAAGGGUUCUUGUCAAGCAAGGAACAAUUUAUUAUUUGUAGUUGUUUGUUGCCAAGCACACUUUCAGUAAGAUUUUCUGUGUAGUAAAGGAAACAUUUAUGUUACAAUAGCAGCCUCAUGUGGUGAGUAUGACCAAGGUUUGAUGUUGAAAAAGCUAUUUUUGAUACAGCUUGGCAGCAGUGUUCUGUUCGCAAGUAUUCAACAUUAAUUAGUGGAAAGUCACACAUUUUGGUUGUUUGUGUACAAAGUGGGAUCACUACUUGUUGAAUUUAGAUGAAAGUGAUACAUACAUUUAGAGUUUAACUAAUACUUCUAAGACAGUCCUAUGUGAAUGUGCAUUUUCUCAGUGAGCUUGAUACUCAUCACCACUAUAAAGUGACUGAUAUCACAACGUUUUUGCAAUGGGACUGUGAUAUUAUUGAUAUUGUACCUUUAAAAAACAGAUGAAUAAACUGCUGCUUUUAUUUACUCAGCCCUGUUAACCAGUAUCUCUACCAGGCUCCAGAUGUCUUCCUGGCAUCACCAGAGAACAGUGCCAUAGCACACUCCAGUCCAACAGAAAGCCUUAUUAUAAUGCCCCUCUUCCCCUAUGAGCAGUAGAACCAUCACAUACAGCAGUACAGUUGAAUCAUGUCAGCCAUCUACUCAGCACUGCCAAGCUACUGUCUACCAGUCUCUCUCACAGCCCUUCUUUAGUUCUCUCAGUCUUCUCUCUUCUCUUACUUCCCCAACAGGAGAGGAGAGAGUGGGCUGCCUGCCUGCCUGCCAUCAUGCCACAUGUUUACGUUCUGAUCCUUGUUAAAGUAGGGGAGAAUUAACAGGCUCUGGCUUUGUUAAUUGGCCGCUAAUCAGGUGUUGCUCUAAUUAAAAGGCAGUUCCGCCCUGUUGGUGCCUGCUAAUGAGUGUGUUAUUAAAUCCACCAAGGAUUUGGGUCUCUUUUUCAAUUUAUCAACAGGGUAGAGAUUAAUUUGUGUUGGAAUGAGAGUGGAAUGUCAUUGAAGGUUGUCUUGCUAGAGAGUGUGUGCUAGAGAGUGUGAUCAAGAUCAAAUGCGCUCUUUCUCUCUACAUAGACAACAAACAUGCAGUGUGGUGCUGUGUUGUCGGUGUGUUGCCUUGUGUUGUGACAUUUUGUCUUGUGAUUUUGUGGUGCUGUGUUGUGGCGUGUGUAGUGUUGGUUUGUUAUGUGUUGUGUGUGGUUGGGUCUUGUAUAGUGUUGUUGUGUGUGUAGUGCACUCAGCUGCACUGAAUGUUAGGAUAUUGAUGAUGUGAAUACCUCCCUUGUGCUGUAUUGCUCUUCAAGAGUUCAGGUUUCCACUUUUUGACAUUGUGUAUACAUGGAGAUGUGACCCUUCCCUGGCCUCUUAAUUUAAGUAGAGCAGGGCCCUUCAUAACUCUAACUCUACCUACAUGUACAUUUUACCUCAACUAACCGGUGCCCCCGCACAUUGACUCUACCUGUACCCCCCUUGUUUCUAGUCUCGCUAAUGUUAUUUUACUGCUGCUCUUUAAUUACUUGUUACUUUUAUUUCUUAUUCUAAUCCAUAUUUUUUUGAACUGCAUUGUUGGUUCGUAAGUAAGCAUUUCACUGUAUUCGGCGCACAUGACUAAUACGAUUUGAUUUGAUUUGAUCAGCCACAGCUGAGGCUCUCUGCCUGGCCCUUUGAGACCUUUGGGCAAGGCCAUGUGGUAACGGAGUGACACUCCCACUAUAGAAAUAUGCAGAUCUUUUUUAAUAAUCAAGGCCAAAUCUUAAUGCCAUACAUGUAUCAAUACUAACAAGUAAUUGUUCAAAUAUACUGUAUCUGUCAUGCAAAAAAACUAUUAGUGGUGGGUGAUAGUCACAGCUGCCCAGAAACAAAACAAAUCAUCUUACUUUAAAUAAUUUGUAUGCAUUUUAUGACUCCCAUAUGGUCCAUGAUUAAUAGAACAUUUUGUAUCAGGAAAUUGUCCUAAAAAUACAUAUCCACAGACAAUUGUAUUGCAAUAUGCUAUUUUGCACUCCGUUACAUCUCUUUCAAUUAUUUGUAUUUUCAUGAUGAAGUAUUAUAUCAAAUGAUACCAAAAUUUGUGCUGAUAUAGUCAACUAAGUAUUUC
Molecule: long non-coding RNA, 3762 nt
Organism: Oncorhynchus mykiss (rainbow trout)
Lineage: Eukaryota; Metazoa; Chordata; Actinopteri; Salmoniformes; Salmonidae
Source: Ensembl